CCUACGGGUGGCAGCAGUGAGGAAUAUUGGUCAAUGGCCGGAAGGCUGAACCAGCCAAGCCGCGUGAAGGACGAAGGUGCCAAGCAUUGUAAACUUCUUUUGUCAAGGAACAAAAUCAGGCUCGAGAGCCUGACCGAGGGUACUUGAAGAAAAAGCAUCGGCUAACUCCGUGCCAGCAGCCGCGGUAAUACGGAGGAUGCGAGCGUUAUCCGGAUUUAUUGGGUUUAAAGGGGGCGUAGGCGGACUGUUAAGUCAGCGGUAAAAGCCCGGGGCUCAACCCCGGCGAGCCGUUGAAAAUGGCUGUCGUGAGAAGUCGAGAGGUAGGCGGAAUGCGCGGUGUAGCGGUGAAAUGCUUAGAUAUUGCGCAGAACUCCGAUUGCGAAGGCAGCAUACCGGCGGGGAACUGACGCUGAGGCACGAAAGCGUGGGUAUCGAACAGGAUUAGAUACCCUUGUAGUC
RNAcentral lists this ribosomal RNA (459 nucleotides) under uncultured bacterium. RNAcentral describes it as "partial 16S ribosomal RNA". It matches the Rfam family "Bacterial small subunit ribosomal RNA", at positions 338 to 795 of the family's 1533-position model. The record is from RNAcentral.